GACGAACGCUGGCGGCGUGCUUAACACAUGCAAGUCGAACGGAAAGGCCCCCUUGUGGGGUACUCGAGUGGCGAACGGGUGAGUAACACGUGAGUAACCUACCCUUGACUUUGGGAUAACUUCAGGAAACUGGGGCUAAUACCGGAUAGGAGCUCCUGCUGCAUGGUGGGGGUUGGAAAGGUUCGGCGGUUGGGGAUGGUCUCGCGGCUUAUCAGCUUGUUGGUGGGGUAGUGGCUCACCAAGGCAUUGACGGGUAGCCGGCCUGAGAGGGUGACCGGCCACAUUGGGACUGAGAUACGGCCCAGACUCCUACGGGAGGCAGCAGUGGGGAAUAUUGCACAAUGGGCGGAAGCCUGAUGCAGCAACGCCGCGUGCGGGAUGACGGCCUUCGGGUUGUAAACCGCUUUCGCCUGUGACGAAGCGUGAGUGACGGUAAUGGGUAAAGAAGCACCGGCUAACUACGUG
RNAcentral lists this ribosomal RNA (465 nucleotides) under uncultured bacterium. RNAcentral describes it as "partial 16S ribosomal RNA". It matches the Rfam family "Bacterial small subunit ribosomal RNA", at positions 28 to 507 of the family's 1533-position model. The record is from RNAcentral.